Molecule: ribosomal RNA, 213 nt
Filed under: uncultured Enterobacter sp.
Lineage: Bacteria; Pseudomonadati; Pseudomonadota; Gammaproteobacteria; Enterobacterales; Enterobacteriaceae
Description: partial 16S ribosomal RNA
Rfam family: Bacterial small subunit ribosomal RNA
Source: RNAcentral
AGGCAGCAGCCGCGGUAAUCCUACGGGAGGCAGCAGUGGGGAAUAUUGCACAAUGGGCGCAAGCCUGAUGCAGCCAUGCCGCGUGUAUGAAGAAGGCCUUCGGGUUGUAAAGUACUUUCAGCGGGGAGGAAGGUGCUGAGGUUAAUAACCUCAGCAAUUGACGUUACCCGCAGAAGAAGCACCGGCUAACUCCGUGCCAGCAGCCGCGGUAAU